RNAcentral lists this ribosomal RNA (748 nucleotides) under uncultured bacterium. RNAcentral describes it as "bacterial SSU rRNA". It matches the Rfam family "Bacterial small subunit ribosomal RNA", at positions 28 to 762 of the family's 1533-position model. The record is from RNAcentral.
GACAAACGCUGGCGGCGUGCCUAACACAUGCAAGUCGAGCGCGAAAGGGACCUUCGGGUCCCCUGAAAGCGGCGAACGGGUGAGUAACACGUGGGCAACCUGCCUCAAGGACUGGGAUAACUCCGGGAAACCGGGGCUAAUACCGGGCGAUGUCGUCUGACGCAAGUCGGCCGACCAAACGGUAGCUUCGGCCUCCGCCUUGAGAUGGGCCCGCGUCCUAUCAGCUUGUUGGUGAGGUAAUGGCUCACCAAGGCUACGACGGGUAGCUGGUCUGAGAGGAUGAUCAGCCACACUGGGACUGAGAUACGGCCCAGACUCCUACGGGAGGCAGCAGUGGGGAAUUUUGCGCAAUGGGCGAAAGCCUGACGCAGCAACGCCGCGUGAGCGAAGAAGGCCUUCGGGUCGUAAAGCUCUGUCAGGGGAAAAGAAGGCACCUGGGUUAAUAGCCCAAGGGCUGACGGUACCCCCAAAGGAAGCCACGGCUAACUACGUGCCAGCAGCCGCGGUAAUACGUAGGUGGCGAGCGUUGUCCGGAAUCAUUGGGCGUAAAGAGCGCGUAGGUGGCUUGUCAGGUCUGAUGUGAAAUCCUGGGGCUCAACUCCAGAACUGCAUCGGAAACCGGCUUGCCAGAGUCUGGGAGAGGAGAGUGGAAUUCCUGGUGUAGCGGUGAAAUGCGUAGAUAUCAGGAGGAACACCGGUAGCGAAGGCGGCUCUCUGGAACAGUACUGACGCUGAGGCGCGAAAGCUA